RNAcentral lists this transfer RNA (76 nucleotides) under Calorimonas adulescens. RNAcentral's name for it is "Thermoanaerobacteraceae bacterium A05MB tRNA-Cys". It matches the Rfam family "tRNA". Rfam says of the family: Transfer RNA (tRNA) molecules are approximately 80 nucleotides in length. Their secondary structure includes four short double-helical elements and three loops (D, anti-codon, and T loops). Further hydrogen bonds mediate the characteristic L-shaped molecular structure. tRNAs have two regions of fundamental functional importance: the anti-codon, which is responsible for specific mRNA codon recognition, and the 3' end, to which the tRNAs corresponding amino acid is attached (by aminoacyl-tRNA synthetases). tRNAs cope with the degeneracy of the genetic code in two manners: having more than one tRNA (with a specific anti-codon) for a particular amino acid; and 'wobble' base-pairing, i.e. permitting non-standard base-pairing at the 3rd anti-codon position. The record is from RNAcentral. Lineage: Bacteria; Bacillati; Bacillota; Clostridia; Thermoanaerobacterales; Thermoanaerobacteraceae.
GGCGACGUACCCAAGUGGCUAAGGGAGAGGUCUGCAAAACCUUUAUGCCCCGGUUCGAAUCCGGGCGUCGCCUCCA